GGAAGAAGCGCAGCUUCACUGAGUCUGAGCUCCAAACUCGAGACGCAAAGAUCUGUAUUAUUUGGUAGCUUCUCGUCAGGGAUAAACACCAAAAAAACAAAAUGUGAGUGGGAGCGUGUGUGAGGCAGUGAAUGCUGUGAGGUCAGAGCAGCGCACUCACUGAAAUUAAAAAGAAAAAAAAAGGGUCCGACGUGAAGGUGGAGGUGGAGGUGAAGCGGAGGGUUUCGGCUAACCACUGAGGCGUUACAGCGGGGACAGGAGGGGAGGAACUGACCCCUCUGACCAGACAGCGGCAGCUACUGUGGGUGACACGGCUCUAACCGAGUUGAGGGGCCCGUGAAGGCCACACAGAUCAUCCUCAAGACGAUGAGCCAAGAGAGGGCGUCUCCACCGGCUGCUCCAGCCCCACCAGCACCUCCACCAGCACCAUGCUCUCCAGCCUCUCCAGCACAUGUAGGGAAGAACUAACUACUCCAUAGACAGAGAGAAAUGCUGCCUUGCCGUGUUGAGAAUGGACCCGACUGCUGGAUGUUUUUUUAAAAAUGUUUUUUUGUUUGAUUUUUAAAAAAAAAACAUUUCAAUAUGACAUUUGCAAAGCAAGGGAAAACAUGUUAUUGAUCAGAUGAUGCUCUCGAGAGUAUGGGUUCAUUUGACUGCUAUAGUGAUAGUAGUGAUAGUGUUCAAUAGUGAUUGAAAGGCUAAUUUAAUUUUCUGUCGGUGGAAAACGGAGAUGUUUUAAAUGAUUGUUUAGUGCCUGUUUAGGGUGUGUUUAGUUCAUGUUCAGGAGACUGACUGUGCCUUGGUGACAAAUGCAUACAGCAAAAUAAGAAGGCACUUUAAAAAAUGACGGUUGUUUCAGGGUUUCUGUGUAACCUGUUUGUAUGAUGUGAUUUCAUUCAUUGUCUUAUAUUAAAAAGAACUUCUAUCUAUUAUUCUUGUGUGAAUUUCGUGCCUUGCUGGCACUCCAACACAGAUAAUUUGGUGAAUAUUAAAGUGCAUUUCAUGUUCUUGGCCCAGACAGAACCAAGCAUUAAUCAAUAAACUCUUAAAAUGAUUCUGCAAUAAAGGAAGUAACCAGUGUGAGGAGCAUGGAGUGGAGCUGCUACAGUGCUACUGUUGAACUACUCAUCAUUAGAUUGUUAUGAGUUUUAUAUCAUUCUGAAUAGGAUUUGACUUGAAUUCAGAAUAAGCAUGUUAAAGAAAGACUAAAACAGUGGUUAUGAAAUGUUCUGUGUGGAUUGUCUAUC
Molecule: long non-coding RNA, 1247 nt
Organism: Acanthopagrus latus (yellowfin seabream)
Lineage: Eukaryota; Metazoa; Chordata; Actinopteri; Spariformes; Sparidae
Exons: 3
Source: RefSeq, a predicted model, not a curated record